Molecule: long non-coding RNA, 5733 nt
Filed under: Taeniopygia guttata (zebra finch)
Lineage: Eukaryota; Metazoa; Chordata; Aves; Passeriformes; Estrildidae
Description: lncRNA (ENSTGUG00000021679.1)
Source: RNAcentral
GCACACCCCUUGGAGAGGCAUACAGCAAAGAGGUGGGGAAGAAACGUGGCAAUGGAAUUAUCUUUCAAAUAACUGGAAGGCUUUUCCAUCCUGAACCCAGAGGACAGGCUAAUGAAAACUGGUUUUCUGACAACGCUGAGUUACGAGAUGGCAGCACCUGUUGGACUUCAGUGAAAAUAUUCUUGUGGGCUCUGGUUUGCACUUUUUCAAGCCAUGGCUGAGGGAGUGCUGAAGUGUGCAGGGAGCAGAAGGUCCAGCCCAGUGUGGAAGGGUUGGCUGGAGCCUGGUUUGGAUGUCAGUGCAAACAGUGCCACCCUGGUAAGUCCAAAACACUUCUUGAAAGGUGAGCCAGGAAAGGAGAAGGGUCUGGAAGACCUGAGAUAUGUUACCAUGCCCCUCCCUCCCCCCUGCUGCUGGGGAUGCUCCCACAGCAAGGACCUUGCUGUGCUGGGUGCCCUGUGCACAGGUCGGGACAUGCUGCAUGAUUAAUUGUCUGCAUGAUUAAUGUCUGCAGAUGGAGGCUAAACAGGGAUCCCAGAGUCACAGAGCUGCUAAGGCUGGAAAAGACCUCGGAGGUAAUCGAGUCCAAGCAUUAACCCAGCACCACUGUGCUCACCACUAAACCAUAUCCCCAGGUGCCACAUCCAUAUGCUUUUAGAACACUUCCAGGAAUAAUGAUUCCACCACUUCCCUGCUGCACCCUGAGUAGGUUUAGCUUUCUUAGUUAGCUUUUUUUUCCCUUGACUUGUUGUUUCCCUGUUUGUUUCCCUGAAAAUGGAAAAUAUCUUCAUUUUCUAAUUUUGAUAAUUCUAGAUGAAAUUGUGCAAAUGGCUCCUCAGACUUGACAAAAGACCUGUGGGGUAAUGCAGUGAAGCUUACUCUUUAACAAAAUUACCACAAAUUGUGCUAAGAGCAUCAUAGCUUCAACUAAUGUAAAAUAAGCGAAGGUUUUCUGAAAAGUAGUGCAUCCAUUUAAUGCUUAUCUGGAAAACUAAGCAUACUUAAAUGUAUAAUAAAUAAAAACAAAGAACUUUUGGCAUUGUCUCACCUUUUUCCCUUGACAUGACUUUAUUAUCUAUUAUAACCAGGAAAAAUCUUUGUAUUCCAAAGAGAAGGUGUUUUUUAAAAAUACACGUGAAUAACAUAAAUAUUACUAUGGUGCAAAUACUCAUUCAAUUAUCUUUUUAUCUUAUUUUUUAUGGUUUUGGUAUAAGUUUCUGUUUAAUAGAACUCUGAAGCUCAGGUUGCAAUUUCAUGUCAGGUUCAGUGUUAGCCCCUUUACUGGUAAAAAGAGAAAAUCAAUCUGCUUUUGCAAUGUAAAUGUAGAGACAUAGAAUUGAAUUAGUUGAUAUUUCUCAACAUCUGAGAUAACAUAAAUAGGACCAUAAUUUUCCUUGUCACUUUCAUGUAUAAGUGCAGGAGAGGUCCAGGCAGGAAUUCUUACUUAUGUAUCCCUUACAUCUUCAAAGUGCAUGAUUUGUGUGCAGUCAUAAAGAGUGGACAGCUCAUAAUUUAAUUAUUUAAUCCAUAAAAUCCAUUUAAAAAAAGAAGGAAGAAUAAAGUUAAUGCCUUGUUUACAAUGACUUUAUGAUAACUCUCAUGUACUCAUGCAUUCAUUAACAGAAAACAGGUUUCUAUAAGGGCCCAAUUGUGUUUUGUUUCAAUCAACUCUGAAAGGAUAAUAAAAAAAUAGGAAAAACAAAGAUAAACCAAAUAAUAAAAAUUAAGUAAAAAGGGUUCUGAAGCCACAUUCUUGGGCUUAAAGAAGCAUAUUCUUACUUUUUAUUGUUCCUGAGUUAAAAAUUUACUAAUGCUCUUUAAAUUUAAGAACUGUUCAGUUGAUUACACACGACUUGACUGUGUAAACUUUUGAGUUAGAAAAGGUACUUAAAGCAUAAUAAGAACUCAUUAGUAGCAUUAAAGGAAAAUAGAAAAAAGUUUGUAUUUAGUAGUCAUGACUCUAAGAAAAGAAUUGUUCCACAAACCAUCCUGGCAGAAAAAGGAGCCAGGAAAGCACAGGCCUGAAGUCAGUUGAAAUUCAGCGUCUCUGUUCCACCAGCAGGGAACCUCUGCCUCCCAGAGGGAACUUUCAUGCAGGAGGGUAAAGCUGAAUUCUCCCAGAGUAAAGGAGGAUGUGCCCCCAUCCAGUGAGGUUCAUGCUGGGCAUGAAGUGCAGGUAAAAUCAGUCUUUUUAUUGGCCUGGGCUGUCUGCUGGGCACACACAGGAAUGCAGAAUGCCAAAAGAGAAGAAAAAAAAAAUCAGCAUCUGUUUUGCCUGGUGAUAACACUCUUAUUUUAUAUCAUGCAAUAUAUAAUGUAUAUAUUUACAUUUUUCAUUAGCAAUUCAAGUGAGAAUUGGUUGUUAAAUUAGUUGCAAGUGCUGACAUAUAAGGGCAGAUGAUUUGUAUUUUCUUAGAGAUGUGUAUGUAGCAUUUUCUGAAGGAGGUGGCUUUGGUACUGUUAUGCAUGUGAACAGCCUGGAAAUUCCAAGCUUUUAUCUUUUAGAGAAAUGUAUUACUGUUAUGGGCAAAAUGGAUCUAAAUAUCACAAACUUUUAUGUAUCUGUCUGAAUCCCAGCUGAGAGGCUAGCUGUGGGGUAUCUCUAAAAUAAAAAUGUUUAAUAUUCACUUUUUGUCAUCAAACAUUUACUUUAGUGCUAUUAAGUUUUGUCUUUUUAAACCAUGAUGCACCCUUCAGUAGGAGGAUGAGGCCCUACUCUCUUAUUGUCAGCUGUGAAUGCAACUCAUUGUUAAAGUCUGUGUGAUAAAUUUAUUUCAACUUUGUCUCCUAAAGGGGUGUCAUUUUGCAUCUUUUCUGCACUGAACAUUUUCACUGAGGACCAUGUCACAAGGGAGGUAUAAAACACAAGUAUAAAAUCAGGUAUUUGGAUUACAAGGUAAAUAUUUUUGGCUGGUAUUUAUUAUUACUACUUAGCUGUAGUGAUGAAGCAAAGAGACACUGAUAAUUGCAAAUUUGAAGAGUCUCUGUUUUGAAAAGGCAUUUCUAUCAGAUAGACUGGUAGAAAAAUAUUCAUCAAUCAUUUAGGUCUGUCUCAGGAAUUUAUUAACUUUUCCAUAAGCUGUAUAUUUCUGCCUAAUUAUAUCAUGAAUAAACAGCUGCAAUAAACAGUGAGAUUCAAUCUUCUGAAUAAGCACAUAACUACAUUCUUCACUAUUUUCUGGUUUUUGACAGCUUAGCAGUUAAACUGGAUGAACAUGGAAUAUAGUACAUGAAAAUGGAUGAGAAAGAAAGUGAUAAUGUAGCAUAUUUUCUCCACUUCCUUCUGAAACAGUGUAAAGCAAUCAGUUCUAAAAACCUCUGUCCAUGUAUUAGUUAAUCAAUACAAAUGUUCAGCCUGCUCCAAGAUAUUUUAACACCUGUCAGAGCUAGCUCAGCAGUCAUUGUUCAAAGCUUACAUGGAAGCAAAAACCACAACAGAAAACCUUUCCCAUCUCCAGGGGAUUAUCUCUAGGGAGGAAAAAAGAGAGAGUGAUUCUGGUUACUAGAAACGAGGGGGGGAACAGAGCUCCAAUUCUCAGAUGAUCCAAUUAUGAUUAGAAAAACUGUGUAAAAAAAAAAAAAAGUAGAGCUUGGAGAGUGAGGAAUUUAAUCAUGAUUAUCUGCCUCUUGUGAGGCAGUGUGAAAAUCUGCCAAACCCACCUUUGCUUAGUUACCCUGAAGUGUGGGAGGGAAGGGGAAGCAAAUGCAAAAUGAUGCACCGGGGAGGCGCCGUGAUAGAGAACAACAAGGGAAAUAAUUUCCUCUCAUACUGGGAAAAAGAUUCCUUUUCAAGACCUGUGAUAUUAUUAAUGAGGUAUGAAACUCUAGCAAAGAGCUUUGGCUCUUGUGUUGCUACCACUGCUCCUUGGAGCAGUAGAAUACAGUUACAUUUGCCAUGGGGUUAACAACAGAUCCCUGACUCGUAUACACCAUUCCCCUUCCUCUUAUACACAUGUUUUAUGUCACAUAUAAAUACUUGUAUUUCAUAUUUACUGUCUAUUACAAUAAAUAUAUUAGUUGUCAGGCUUAUUUUCUCCUCUCAUUCAAAUCACAUUGGGCUCAAGCAUGACAAACAAGUGUGAUGCAUAUUUUCUGGAGGUUUAAAAACAUAUCUGAAAUCUGUCCAGCUCUGUUGUUAAAAGUGUAAGUUAAAUGUACCAAGUGAUAUUUGGCCUUCAGAAAUGGAAGUGGGGAGGGUUGCCUUGACACGGUGGACCUGAAUUAACAUACUAUACUGUUUUAUACAUGAAUGAAUAAAUAGUAUAUUAACAAACUGCUUUGUACAUAUGUAUUUCUGCCUUUAUUCAUUACUUCUAAGGAACCUGGGGAUUGUGGUCUGACUGCACACAAGGUAGGUGCAGGUACAGGUAGGUACAAGCACCACAGGCACCACCCAGGACCCUUCCCUGGGCUCUCAGGGAUGCAGGUUUCCCUCAUCCUUGUGGUCGCUCCUUCUAGGAGACUACUGCUCAUGUCUUGGUGCCUUCUGUGAAGAGGACACUUGCCUGCUACAGAAGCAAAGGGAUGUUGUAUUUAUCCUGCAUUUCUUUCACCAAGUGGAACAAGACAUGACAUUUUUCAAGCUCCUCCUCGCCGUUGCUGUUGAUUCAGCCACUUGUCCAUGGCAGUUCCUGUGCCAGCAGGCAGAGCUGGGCUGGGACAAGCAGGGACACAGUGUGUGCCCCAGCCAUAUCCAUCUGUUUGCACUGAGUGACCCAGAGUCACUUCUUCAGCUCCACCUGCAUCUAGCUGAAAUAAUGAAGUUCCCCUAUUCCCAAACCUGCCUCCUGAGACCAAUUUUUCUGUGGAACUGCCAGGGCUGGAGCAGCUCUGCCCUUGGCCUGCCCUGCUGGAUGUGACACCUCUGUCUGCAUCUUGGAUUGGGGGUAUGUUGGAUGUUGUGAAAGAAAAGGCUAAAGGAGAAAUACCAUUGCCUGCCCACUCCUGGGGAAGUUACGAAUCCAGGAGAGUGUGGACUAUGAAAGCCAUUAAUAUUCUGCAGAACCUCACCCAGGCAGCAGCAUACUUUUUUUCUGGCUAUGUGCCAGACAGGCAAUGAAGUGCUCUAAGGGCAGUGAUCCUGAUAAUGAGUUCUUCAUCACCUGUGAGGUGCUAAUCCUGAUCCUUUAGAAGGGUUUUUUUUCUUAAAUUAUUAUUAUACGUCUCUACCCAUAUAUUCAUGCCUUAGUGUGUGUAUCUGUGUCUGUGUACUCCCACCAGCAGACAGCUCCAGCAAGCCCAGCCAGGCCAGAUCAGUGCUGAGCCCAGGUGAUUGCUGGCAGUGACCCCAUGGUCCUGCUACUCGUGCAGCAUCUCUGCUUGUUAAUAGGUCUGCUCCCUUGCUUAGAGUCACUUGUUCAAGCCAUGGACAAAUUUAUGGAUCAUUAGAUUUAUGCAUAGAUUAUGUGGUGAUGAAAAGCACCCUACUGACAGUACUGAGAGCUGAUGCACAUUAUCCUGCCAUGAGCAACACAAGCAGCAACCCUGCAGGCAAUUUCUUGCAAAACUAGAGAUUUCCUUAUGGUACCUGAAGAGUUUUUUUGGUGAGGAUUAUUUUCCACACUGGUCCAGUAGGAGGUUACAUGAGUUCAGAGCUAUGGAAACCUCAAGAGUUUUCUUCCACUGCACAGCAAUGACAUGAAUUAUUUUAUGACAUUGCCAUCGGGGUCUCUUCCUUAGAUAGUGAAUUUCGCAAUCAAACUUAUAGCUAGCAAGGAAAAAAAAAAAGAAAAA